This 420-nucleotide ribosomal RNA is filed under the name uncultured bacterium. Its description in RNAcentral is "bacterial SSU rRNA". It matches the Rfam family "Bacterial small subunit ribosomal RNA", at positions 29 to 496 of the family's 1533-position model. The record is from RNAcentral.
AACGAACGCUGGCGGCAGGCUUAACACAUGCAAGUCGAACGCCCCGCAAGGGGAGUGGCGCACGGGUGAGUAACGCGUGGGAAUCAACCUUCUGGUACGGGACAACCUCGGGAAACUGAGGCUAAUACCGUAUAUCUCCUCAGGGAGAAAGAUUUAUCGCCAGAAGACGAGCCCGCGUCCGAUUAGCUAGUUGGUAGGGUAAUGGCCUACCAAGGCGACGAUCGGUAGCUGGUCUGAGAGGACGAUCAGCCACACUGGGACUGAGACACGGCCCAGACUCCUACGGGAGGCAGCAGUGGGGAAUAUUGGGCAAUGGGCGCAAGCCUGACCCAGCCAUGCCGCGUGAGUGACGAAGGCCUUAGGGUUGUAAAGCUCUUUCGGCGGGGACGAUGAUGACGGUACCCGCAGAAGAAGCCCCGG